Molecule: non-coding RNA, 51 nt
Filed under: Pseudomonas cremoricolorata
Lineage: Bacteria; Pseudomonadati; Pseudomonadota; Gammaproteobacteria; Pseudomonadales; Pseudomonadaceae
Description: Guanidine-II sequence
Rfam family: Guanidine-II riboswitch aptamer (mini-ykkC)
About the family: Simpler in structure and has fewer highly conserved nucleotide positions than the ykkC-yxkD leader. Despite this each of its two stem-loop structures directly bind free guanidine.
Source: Rfam by way of RNAcentral
AGUUGAGGACGACCUCACGACGCACUGCGUGAUCAUCCGGGGACGGCCCCA